GGCCCGUUGGUCAAGCGGUUAAGACACCGCCCUUCCACGGCGGUAACACGGGUUCGAAUCCCGUACGGGUCA
This 72-nucleotide transfer RNA is filed under the name Listeria monocytogenes. RNAcentral describes it as "tRNA-Gly". It matches the Rfam family "tRNA". From Rfam's summary of the family: Transfer RNA (tRNA) molecules are approximately 80 nucleotides in length. Their secondary structure includes four short double-helical elements and three loops (D, anti-codon, and T loops). Further hydrogen bonds mediate the characteristic L-shaped molecular structure. tRNAs have two regions of fundamental functional importance: the anti-codon, which is responsible for specific mRNA codon recognition, and the 3' end, to which the tRNAs corresponding amino acid is attached (by aminoacyl-tRNA synthetases). tRNAs cope with the degeneracy of the genetic code in two manners: having more than one tRNA (with a specific anti-codon) for a particular amino acid; and 'wobble' base-pairing, i.e. permitting non-standard base-pairing at the 3rd anti-codon position. The record is from RNAcentral. Lineage: Bacteria; Bacillati; Bacillota; Bacilli; Caryophanales; Listeriaceae.